RNAcentral lists this non-coding RNA (244 nucleotides) under Eubacterium sp. Its description in RNAcentral is "T-box sequence". It matches the Rfam family "T-box leader". From Rfam's summary of the family: Uncharged tRNA acts as the effector for transcription antitermination of genes in the T-box leader family. T-boxes are found upstream of many aminoacyl-tRNA synthetase genes and some amino acid biosynthetic genes usually in Gram-positive bacteria. The anticodon of a specific tRNA base pairs to a specifier sequence within the T-box motif, and the NCCA acceptor tail of the tRNA base pairs to a conserved bulge in the T-box antiterminator hairpin. Lineage: Bacteria; Bacillati; Bacillota; Clostridia; Eubacteriales; Eubacteriaceae. The record is from RNAcentral.
AGAAAACCGACGAGUAAGAGUAGUAGCUUUGCAGGUUGUCUUUCAGAGAGUCGCGGAUGGUGAAAUCGCGGCAGAUAAACGCAAUGUGAAUGGACUUAUGAGGGCGGCGCGAAAGCAGAUGCAAGUAGCAGCCGACGGAUCGCAACCGUUACAGUGCGGGACGUAUGAUGGUACGUCACAGAGCCGGGCAAAUUUAUUUUGCCAAUUUGGGUGGCAACGCAGGACACAGAGUCUUGUCCCAAUU